RNAcentral lists this ribosomal RNA (496 nucleotides) under uncultured bacterium. RNAcentral's name for it is "partial 16S ribosomal RNA". It matches the Rfam family "Bacterial small subunit ribosomal RNA", at positions 28 to 507 of the family's 1533-position model. The record is from RNAcentral.
GAUGAACGCUGGCGGCGUGCCUAAUACAUGCAAGUCGAGCGAACGGACGAGAAGCUUGCUUCUCUGAUGUUAGCGGCGGACGGGUGAGUAACACGUGGAUAACCUACCUAUAAGACUGGGAUACUUCGGGAAACCGUAGCUAAUACCGGAUAAUAUUUUGAACCGCAUGGUUCAAAAGUGAAAGACGGUCUUGCUGUCACUUAUAGAUGGAUCCGCGCUGCAUUAGCUAGUUGGUAAGGUAACGGCUUACCAAGGCAACGAUGCAUAGCCGACCUGAGAGGGUGAUCGGCCACACUGGAACUGAGACACGGUCCAGACUCCUACGGGAGGCAGCAGUAGGGAAUCUUCCGCAAUGGGCGAAAGCCUGACGGAGCAACGCCGCGUGAGUGAUGAAGGUCUUCGGAUCGUAAAACUCUGUUAUUAGGGAAGAACAUAUGUGUAAGUAACUGUGCACAUCUUGACGGUACCUAAUCAGAAAGCCACGGCUAACUACGUG